GAUCCUGGCUCAGGAUGAACGCUGGCGGCGUGCUUAACACAUGCAGGUCGAACGAAGCACUUUGGGCAGAUUCUUCGGAUGAAGUCCUUAGUGACUGAGUGGCGGACGGGUGAGUAACGCGUGAGGAACCUGCCUCAAAGAGGGGGACAACAGUUGGAAACGACUGCUAAUACCGCAUAAGCCCACGGGUCGGCAUCGACCUGAGGGAAAAGGAGUAAUCCGCUUUGAGAUGGCCUCGCGUCCG
Molecule: ribosomal RNA, 244 nt
Filed under: uncultured bacterium
Lineage: Bacteria
Description: partial 16S ribosomal RNA
Rfam family: Bacterial small subunit ribosomal RNA
Source: RNAcentral